AUGGGGGAAACCCGACCCAGCGAGCCGCGUGAAGAAAGGCCUUCGGUUGUAAACUUCUGUUCUGGUGAAGAGGGAAAGACGGUAACCAAGGAGGAAGCCCCGGCUAACUACGUGCCAGCAGCCGCGGUAAUACGUAGGGGGCGAGCGUUGUCCGGAAUGAUUGGGCGUAAAGGGCGCGUAGGCGGCUACGGAAGUCUGGAGUGGAAGUCCUAUUUUCAAGGUAGGAAUUGCUUUGGAAACUCCGCAGCUUGAGUGCAAGAGAGGUUAUCGGAAUUCCCGGUGUAGCGGUGAAAUGCAUAGAGAUCGGGAGGAACACCAGUGGCGAAGGCAGGUAACUGGACUGCAACUGACGCUGAGGCGCGAAAGUGUGGGGAGCAAACAGGAUUAGAUACCCUGGUAGUCCACACUGUAAACGAUGAAUGCUAGGUGUAGGUGGUAUCGACCCCAUCUGUGCCGUCGUAAACACAAUAAGCAUUCCGCCUGGGA
Molecule: ribosomal RNA, 486 nt
Filed under: Clostridiales bacterium oral taxon 402
Lineage: Bacteria; Bacillati; Bacillota; Clostridia; Eubacteriales
Description: bacterial SSU rRNA
Rfam family: Bacterial small subunit ribosomal RNA
Source: RNAcentral